This is a small nucleolar RNA of Perognathus longimembris pacificus (Pacific pocket mouse), 131 nucleotides long. RefSeq annotates it as small nucleolar RNA SNORA51. The record is from RefSeq and is a predicted model, not a curated record. The transcript has a single exon. Lineage: Eukaryota; Metazoa; Chordata; Mammalia; Rodentia; Heteromyidae.
GGCCCCCUGGUGCUUACCACAGGCUGUGUUCUUAUACUGAUAUAUAGAAAGAGGAGGUGGAGUAAACCUAUUCUAUAUACACCUCAGCCCAGGCCCUGUGCUUGGUCUGUAUUGUGAAUGGAGAAACAUGG